Molecule: ribosomal RNA, 426 nt
Filed under: Triticum aestivum (bread wheat)
Lineage: Eukaryota; Viridiplantae; Streptophyta; Magnoliopsida; Poales; Poaceae
Description: partial small subunit ribosomal RNA
Source: RNAcentral
AUGAGGACCUUGUGCUGGAACUGUCACGGGAUUGGCGACCCCGCAACAGUGAGGGAGCUUUGGGAGCUCAUCAGGGAGUCUGCACCGUUGGUGGUUUGCAUUGUGGAGACACAACUGUCAAAACAGCGAGUGGAGGGUCUGACAGCGACGUUAGGCUUUGAGGGAGGUUUUGCAGUGGCUAGCUCUGGGAAGAGCGGAGGUUUGGCAGUAUUCUGGAAGGACGGUUUAAAUCUCAGAGUGAAAAAUUUCUCACGUUAUCACAUUGAUGCGUGGGUCGCUGAGCCGGGGAAGGAGGAUUGGAGGCUGACUUGUUUUUAUGGGGAGGUUAGUAGAAGUCUGAGACAAAAUACAUGGGACACGAUUGCAAGACUCCGUGGAGAAUCUACACUUCCAUGGGUUUGCAUCGGAGACUUAAUGAGGUUUUGA